Long non-coding RNA from Anguilla rostrata (American eel), 896 nucleotides. RefSeq lists it as uncharacterized. The record is from RefSeq and is a predicted model, not a curated record. NCBI's taxonomy places the organism in Eukaryota, Metazoa, Chordata, Actinopteri, Anguilliformes, Anguillidae. The transcript has 3 exons.
CACAACUGCAACCAGCACUUUAAUAUAAAACAAGCCCAUGGACAGCACCGGCCCUUCUCACAGACAGGGGGGCAGGUGUGGCUCAUUGUAAUUAGGCCAGCUGCUCCUCAUUGCUUAAUCAUUAUGAAAGGGCCUUGCUUUCAGGUGUAAGGAGUCUGUUUUUCUGAAUGGUCGCUCUUGUGUUUGAAGUUUUAUUUGUUGUGGACUUUUGGCCUCUGCAGAAUCUUUUUAUUAAUGAAAUGUUUUCUGUUCUUUUUCAGUUCCUGGACUAAUUUAAGGCCAAGUGUAUUUUUUACUUAAUUUUUUCCACCGUGUUAUACAGUGGCCAUCCCCAGCACUGCAUCAGAAGGGCUACAAGGCUAAAGAUUAUCGGCCCCUGUGAACACCUGACAGGCUUCUCAGCAGGAAGUGCAUGAACAUGUGGGAGUCUGUUCAUGCUCUGUCCCUGUACACAGGAAGGAAUCUGCCACUGAGUCAUUGUGUCUGAACAUGUGCCCAGUUGUUCUAAAACAUACAGCACAGCAUCAAUAACUGAGAACACAAGAAAGCUGUCGCUGUGCAUACAGGAAGUGUUUUUGUUUCUGAAGGUACAGGGAGGGCUCUGCAAGCAAGAGGCCUAGCCUUCAGAAAGCAUAUCCAGCUGAUCUAAAGCAUGCAGGAGAGUACCCUAAUCCAGAAGAAGGUUUUCUCUGGCUAAGCAGUGGCACACAUAUUGGUAGAUGUGCCAGAUCCAGCCCUGCACUUUACAGUUGAUCCAGAAAAGAACACUGCGUGAAAACCAGGCCUGAUCCCCCAAAAAGAGAGCAACUGAAGUAAAAAGGACGGAGUGUGGCACAGUGGGUAAGGAACUGCGCUUGUAACCGAAAGGUCGCAGGUUCGAUUCCAGGGUAAGGACA